GUGCUCACUUCAGCAGCACAUAUACUAAAAUUGGAACGAUACAGAGGGGAUUAGCAUGACCCCUGCGCAAGGAUGACAUGCAAAUUUGUGAAGUGUUCCGUAUUAAA
Molecule: small nuclear RNA, 107 nt
Organism: Cercocebus atys (sooty mangabey)
Lineage: Eukaryota; Metazoa; Chordata; Mammalia; Primates; Cercopithecidae
Source: Ensembl